RNAcentral lists this transfer RNA (71 nucleotides) under Marmota marmota marmota (Alpine marmot). It matches the Rfam family "tRNA". From Rfam's summary of the family: Transfer RNA (tRNA) molecules are approximately 80 nucleotides in length. Their secondary structure includes four short double-helical elements and three loops (D, anti-codon, and T loops). RNAcentral also lists the same sequence under 1 other name. Lineage: Eukaryota; Metazoa; Chordata; Mammalia; Rodentia; Sciuridae. The record is from Rfam by way of RNAcentral.
GUGGUUGUGGCUCAGUGGUAGAGUGAUUGCCUAGUACAUAUGAGGCACUGAGUUUGAUCCUCAGCACCACA